GGAUGCGAUCAUACCAGCACUAAAGCACCGGAUCCCAUCAGAACUCCGAAGUUAAGCGUGCUUGGGCGAGAGUAGUAGUAGGAUGGGUGACCUCCUGGGAAGUCCUCGUGUUGCAUCCCUC
RNAcentral lists this ribosomal RNA (121 nucleotides) under Oryza sativa Indica Group (long-grained rice). The record is from RNAcentral. Lineage: Eukaryota; Viridiplantae; Streptophyta; Magnoliopsida; Poales; Poaceae.